This is a long non-coding RNA of Caretta caretta (loggerhead turtle), 846 nucleotides long. RefSeq lists it as uncharacterized. The record is from RefSeq and is a predicted model, not a curated record. NCBI's taxonomy places the organism in Eukaryota, Metazoa, Chordata, Testudines, Cheloniidae.
CCUAAAAUUAGCAGCAUAAAAUCACUGUAGCAGUGUCUGCUACUAAUUGGGCCCUCCACACCCACUGGAUCCUGUAGGGGGGGGCUUCUGUUUUAUUCAUCUCCCACACCAGAGGAAUUAUUCCCCAGCCGGAUGCAGGGCAGCAUAAACUGGCCACGCCAGGGAAGAGAUUCCUUGCCCAGGUUUCAGUCCAUGCUCUGGGUUUGCACUCGUUUCUAAUCAAGACAGAUGGAGCUACGUUCUUUUCUCCGGGACAUUAGUGGACUUCAUCAGCAGAGUUCUUUGUGUGUCACAGAGAAGAGAAUUUCACCCAGUUGCGUGUGUACAUUACAGUGUAUGUUCUUAUGAAGCUUAUCGGGAGCUAAUCCCACUCACUGCAAGCUGUCAGGCUGCAAAAAACAGAGCGGACAUCAUACCACGUGCUUUGCGUAACCUCUGGCUGCAGAAAGGCUGUUAAGAAAAAUUAACUUUGUUGUGUUGUGAUCGUAGCUGGGCCGAUUUCCUACUGCCUUGCGCUUUACUGGGUUAUGGAGUGGUGUGCCAAGCAGGUGCAAAGAGAGUGUAAAACACCCCCAGAGUGGUAGCAUUUUACUCUCCCUCUCACAGAAGCAAAAGAAUGAGCCAAGGAGGAAGCAGAUAAAAGAAUAGAAUGGAAGUGGAAAGAGCCCUGGAGCCAACCAUAUCAUCGGAGUUGACAGACUCUGGAGUUUCAAGCUGGGAAAGCUGCUGUUGUGAGGACAGGCCUGUGCUCUGCUGUGGGCCUCAUUCAGGAGGAGAAGGAUGGGUAUUCAUCAGUUCUGCCAGUCAUUCUGCAGCUUUGAUCAAGGGACCAUUUAGGGGGGGGAG